RNAcentral lists this ribosomal RNA (857 nucleotides) under uncultured bacterium. RNAcentral describes it as "SSU rRNA". It matches the Rfam family "Bacterial small subunit ribosomal RNA", at positions 524 to 1381 of the family's 1533-position model. The record is from RNAcentral.
UACGGGAGUGGCAAGCGUUAUCCGGAAUUAUUGGGCGUAAAGCGUCCGCAGGCGGUCUUGUAAGUCUGUUGUUAAAGCGUGGAGCUUAACUCCAUUUCAGCAAUGGAAACUGUAAGACUAGAGUGUGGUAGGGGCAGAGGGAAUUCCCGGUGUAGCGGUGAAAUGCGUAGAUAUCGGGAAGAACACCAGUGGCGAAGGCGCUCUGCUGGGCCAUAACUGACGCUCAUGGACGAAAGCCAGGAGAGCGAAAGGGAUUAGAUACCCCUGUAGUCCUGGCCGUAAACGAUGAACACUAGGUGUCGGGGGAAUCGACCCCCUCGGUGUCGUAGCCAACGCGUUAAGUGUUCCGCCUGGGGAGUACGCACGCAAGUGUGAAACUCAAAGGAAUUGACGGGGGCCCGCACAAGCGGUGGAGUAUGUGGUUUAAUUCGAUGCAACGCGAAGAACCUUACCAGGGUUUGACAUCCUGCGAAUCUUUUGGGAACGAGAGAGUGCCUUCGGGAACGCAGUGACAGGUGGUGCAUGGCUGUCGUCAGCUCGUGUCGUGAGAUGUUGGGUUAAGUCCCGCAACGAGCGCAACCCACGUCGUUAGUUGCCAGCAUUUAGUUGGGCACUCUAGCGAGACCGCCGGUGAUAAACCGGAGGAAGGUGUGGAUGACGUCAAGUCAUCAUGCCCCUUACAUCCUGGGCUACACACGUACUACAAUGCUACGGACAAAGGGCAGCAAACUCGCGAGAGCUAGCAAAUCCCAUAAACCGUGGCUCAGUUCAGAUCGUAGGCUGCAACUCGCCUACGUGAAGGAGGAAUCGCUAGUAAUCGCAGGUCAGCAUACUGCGGUGAAUACGUUCCCGGGCCU